CUUUUGCCUGAGGAGAAAGUCUCGGACACCUAGACCUGUCAGUUCAGCACUCACUUCCACUCUUUUCUUCGUGUUCCCUUUUUUCAGCAAGCUCAGGAGGGAGGUGAAGGUCGAGCAGAGGCUAAUGACGCUUCAACACAGAAUGUUCUAGAGAUCAGGAGCCUGUCAGCCUCUGAUUAUAACAGUGACGGCUGGACAAGCAGAGGAAACGCUUAUGGAGCAGAACAGAGGCUUUGGAGGUGUUUCCAGCAUGCGAUCAGUUAAAGAAGGAAGACCUUGAGUGAGUCGGUGGAGGACAGGAGCUGAGAGGGGCACGGGAGACGCAUGCAGCCGUUUGAUCAGAGCUAAUGCGCUGGAAGCAGCCGAGGAUGUUACCCUUACCGCACUAUUCCCAGGAGAGACGGCAAGCGAGUAGAAGAAAGAGGGAAUGAAGAUGUUCCCAGCGGACUCCUGCAGAGCAUACAUCACCUUCAUCCAUCAGGAAUCUCCCCUAUGAGUUAAUGCCGGCAGGGAACCAUCCUGACAGAAUCACAUCAGCUUGGUGGCACGGAGACCAACCUGAAAGUGGAAGCCAGUUAUGAGGGUCAGACAAAACACUUAAAACUUGAGAAAAGCUUUCAAACCUUGCAGUUCCACUAGAGUCUUUCAAAAUGUGCUGAACAUGAAUAUAGCACUCACAUGGCGAAUUAGUUGGUGGCUUUUACGCAAACCUGAAUUGCACUUAGGUCUAUUGAUUGAGGCUGUUAUUGUUAAAGACUGCUCAUAUUCACCGAUGAAAAGUGUGAACGCAUUUUUACUAAGUCUGUCAUGCAAACGGUCACAAGCAGUUACAUCUCUUUGUGUUUCUUAGCCUUGCAAUGUCAAAUGUAUAGUUAAUGCACAGAUUAUUGUAACUCUAUACAUUUUAUCUUAUAAUA
Non-coding RNA from Danio rerio (zebrafish), 917 nucleotides. The record is from RefSeq and is a predicted model, not a curated record. NCBI's taxonomy places the organism in Eukaryota, Metazoa, Chordata, Actinopteri, Cypriniformes, Danionidae.